UUGGUGAUCGUCGGCGACGGAGCCUGCGGUAAAACUUGCCUGCUCAUCGUUUUCUCAAAGGAUCAGUUCCCAGACGUGUAUGUGCCGACUGUUUUCGAGAAUUAUGUUGCCGACAUUGAAGUUGACGGAAAGCAGGUCGAACUUGCUCUAUGGGAUACAGCUGGACAAGAGGACUAUGAUCGUCUGCGUCCACUCUCUUAUCCGGAUACUGACGUCAUUCUGAUGUGCUUCUCAAUUGAUUCACCCGAUUCACUGGAGAAUAUUCCAGAAAAAUGGACACCAGAAGUCAGGCAUUUCUGUCCAAAUGUUCCGAUUAUUUUGGUCGGAAAUAAACGAGAUCUUCGUAGUGAUCCACAGACUGUUCGAGAAUUGGCAAAAAUGAAACAGGAGCCCGUGAAGCCUGAGCAGGGACGAGCAAUUGCUGAGCAAAUUGGAGCAUUUGCAUAUUUGGAGUGCUCUGCGAAGACUAAGGACGGAAUUCGUGAGGUAUUCGAGAAGGCGACACAGGCGGCAUUGCAACAGAAGAAGAAAAAGAAGAGCAAGUGCAUGAUUUUGUAA
Molecule: unclassified non-coding RNA, 558 nt
Filed under: Caenorhabditis elegans
Lineage: Eukaryota; Metazoa; Nematoda; Chromadorea; Rhabditida; Rhabditidae
Description: Non-coding transcript of protein-coding gene rho-1
Source: RNAcentral